This 253-nucleotide ribosomal RNA is filed under the name uncultured bacterium. RNAcentral's name for it is "partial 16S ribosomal RNA". It matches the Rfam family "Bacterial small subunit ribosomal RNA", at positions 524 to 776 of the family's 1533-position model. The record is from RNAcentral.
UACAGAGGGUGCAAGCGUUAAUCGGAAUUACUGGGCGUAAAGGGUGUGUAGGUGGCAAAGUAAGUUAGGUGUGAAAUCCUCGGGCUUAACCUGAGAAUUGCGCUUAAUACUGCUUAGCUAGAGUACUGCAGAGGGUAGUGGAAUUUCCAGUGUAGCGGUGAAAUGCGUAGAUAUUGGAAGGAACACCAGUGGCGAAGGCGACUACCUGGAUAGAUACUGACACUGAGACACGAAAGCGUGGGUAGCAAACAGG